This 336-nucleotide long non-coding RNA is filed under the name Phoenix dactylifera (date palm). Its description in RNAcentral is "long non-coding RNA (PDAC_LNC009107)". The record is from RNAcentral. Lineage: Eukaryota; Viridiplantae; Streptophyta; Magnoliopsida; Arecales; Arecaceae.
CUACUAUAGUCUCUUGGCUUGAUGAUGCAUCUUCAAUUAAUUUUUGAUUGUUAUCUUGUAAUGUCAUCUCAUCAAUCUUUUCUUCAAGAAUUUCCGUAUCAUCAUCAAAAUUAACUCUCUUACUAGAGGAGAUAUCACUCGAGUCAUCAAAAGCAACAUGUAUAGAUUCUUCUAUGACUAGGGUUCUUUUAUUAAAGACUCUAUAGGCUUUACUAGUUGUAGAGUACCCUAAGAAUAUGCCCUCAUCAGAUUUAGAGUCAAAUUUUUCUAGAUUAUCUUUCCCAUUAUUAUGAACAAAACACCUACAUCCAAAGAUAUGAAAAUAGUUUACCUUUG